GUGCUUGCUUUGGCAGCACAGAUACUAAAAUUGGAAUGAUACAGAGAAGAUUAGCAUGGCCCCUGUGCAAGGAUGACAUGCAAAUUUGUGAAGCGUUCCAUAUUUUU
This 107-nucleotide small nuclear RNA is filed under the name Myotis davidii. The record is from RNAcentral. Lineage: Eukaryota; Metazoa; Chordata; Mammalia; Chiroptera; Vespertilionidae.